GGUGGUUCUCAAGUGACGCACCCUGGAACCAGAGAGGAGGGAGCCUGAUUUCGGGGUGUGUCACUCAAGAACCACC
Molecule: non-coding RNA, 76 nt
Organism: Myotis lucifugus (little brown bat)
Lineage: Eukaryota; Metazoa; Chordata; Mammalia; Chiroptera; Vespertilionidae
Source: Rfam